Long non-coding RNA from Sphaerodactylus townsendi, 364 nucleotides. RefSeq lists it as uncharacterized. The transcript is spliced from 3 exons. The record is from RefSeq and is a predicted model, not a curated record. NCBI's taxonomy places the organism in Eukaryota, Metazoa, Chordata, Lepidosauria, Squamata, Sphaerodactylidae.
UUUAAAACACAUAUAUUGAAGUGGAAAAUAAUAAUAAAUAGGUGUAUAUAGGGUUCUGAAUUGAAGAUAAUUUGGAGCAAAUAAUAAAGAAUAUGCAAAUAUAUAGUAUGGUUAGAGAAGAUGAUAAGGAAAUUGACAAGAAUUAUUAAAGGAUAAAAAGAUAAUUCUGUCUUCACCAUGAUAUGAAGUAAAAAUAAUGAAUCUGAAGAUUUUGGUUAACAAUAUUAAUGGGUUAAACAUACCACAAAAACGUAGGACAUUUUUUCAAUUCUUGUAUAAACAAAGGUGUGAUAUAAUAUGUAUUCAAGAAACGCAUAUAAAAAGAAAAGAUGAAGAACUAAUUAAAAGGAAAUCCCUUGGGGAA